RNAcentral lists this ribosomal RNA (358 nucleotides) under uncultured bacterium. Its description in RNAcentral is "bacterial SSU rRNA". It matches the Rfam family "Bacterial small subunit ribosomal RNA", at positions 33 to 430 of the family's 1533-position model. The record is from RNAcentral.
ACGCUGGCGGCGUCUUACACUUACAAGUCGAACGAACUUCGCGGUUAGUGGCGGACGGGUGAGUAACGCGAUCUGCCCUCAGGAGGGGGACAACAGUUGGAAACGACUGCUAAUACCCCAUAUGCCGCGAGGUGAAAUGAAUUUCGCCUGAGGAUGAGCUCGCGUCUGAUUAGCUAGUUGGUGUAGGUAAUGGCUCACCAAGGCAUCGAUCAGUAGCUGGUCUGAGAGGAUGAUCAGCCACACUGGGACUGAGACACGGUCCAGACUCCUACGGAGGCAGAGUGGGGAAUUUCCGCAAUGGGCGAAAGCCUGACGGAGACACAGCCGCCUGAAGGAUGAAAAGCUCUGGGCUGUAAAA